This 542-nucleotide ribosomal RNA is filed under the name uncultured bacterium. Its description in RNAcentral is "bacterial SSU rRNA". It matches the Rfam family "Bacterial small subunit ribosomal RNA", at positions 385 to 917 of the family's 1533-position model. The record is from RNAcentral.
GAUCCAGCCAUGCCGCGUGAGUGAAGAAGGCCUUCGGGUUGUAAAGCUCUUUCGGCCGGGAAGAAAUCGCAUGGGUCAAUACCCUGUGUGGAUGACGGUACCGGAAUAAGAAGCACCGGCUAACUACGUGCCAGCAGCCGCGGUAAUACGUAGGGUGCGAGCGUUAAUCGGAAUUACUGGGCGUAAAGCGUGCGCAGGCGGUUUGGUAAGUCAGAUGUGAAAUCCCCGGGCUCAACCUGGGAACUGCAUUUGAGACUGCCAAGCUGGAGUUUGGCAGAGGGGGGUGGAAUUCCACGUGUAGCAGUGAAAUGCGUAGAGAUGUGGAGGAACACCGAUGGCGAAGGCAGCCCCCUGGGCCAAUACUGACGCUCAUGCACGAAAGCGUGGGGAGCAAACAGGAUUAGAUACCCUGGUAGUCCACGCCCUAAAACGAUGUCAACUAGGUGUUGGGAGGGUUAAACCUUUUAGUGCCGUAGCUAACGCUUGAAGUUGACCGCCUGGGGAGUACGGCCGCAAGGCUAAAACUCAAAGGAAUUGACGGG